This 253-nucleotide ribosomal RNA is filed under the name uncultured bacterium. RNAcentral describes it as "partial 16S ribosomal RNA". It matches the Rfam family "Bacterial small subunit ribosomal RNA", at positions 524 to 776 of the family's 1533-position model. The record is from RNAcentral.
UACGUAGGGUGCAAGCGUUGUCCGGAAUUAUUGGGCGUAAAGAGCUCGUAGGCGGUCUGUCGCGUCUGCUGUGAAAUCCCGAGGCUCAACCUCGGGCCUGCAGUGGGUACGGGCAGACUGGAGUGCGGUAGGGGAGAAUGGAAUUCCUGGUGUAGCGGUGGAAUGCGCAGAUAUCAGGAGGAACACCGAUGGCGAAGGCAGUUCUCUGGGCCGUAACUGACGCUGAGGAGCGAAAGCGUGGGGAGCGAACAGG